Molecule: non-coding RNA, 46 nt
Organism: Gallus gallus (chicken)
Lineage: Eukaryota; Metazoa; Chordata; Aves; Galliformes; Phasianidae
Source: Rfam
UUACUGGCCCUAUUAAGGGCCACGACUAGCUUAAAUAUCUUGUUGG